AGUCAACAUGCCCAGGGGACGUGGAUAACCUCGGGAAACUGAGGAUAAACCGCGAUAGGUCAUUACUUCUGGAAUGGGUAAUGACUUAAACCUAUAUGGCCCCUGGAUUGGACUGCGGCCGAUCAGGCUGUUGGUGAGGUAAUGGCCCACCAAACCUGUAACCGGUACGGGCUCUGAGAGGAGGAGCCCGGAGAUGGGCACUGAGACAAGGGCCCAGGCCCUAUGGGGCGCAGCAGGCGCGAAACCUCUGCAAUAGGCGAAAGCUUGACAGGGUUACUCUGAGUGAUUUCCGUUAAGGAGAUCUUUUGGCACCUCUAAAAAUGGUGCGGAAUAAGGGGUGGGCAAGUCUGGUGUCAGCCGCCGCGGUAAUACCAGCACCCCGAGUGGUCGGGACGUCUAUUGGGCCUAAAGCAUCCGUAGCCGGUUCUACAAGUCUUCCGUUAAAUCCACCUGCUUAACAGAUGGGCUGCGGAAGAUACUAUAGAGCUAGGAGGCGGGAGAGGCAAGCGGUACUCGAUGGGUAGGGGUAAAAUCCGUUGAUCCAUUGAAGACCACCAGUGGCGAAGGCGGCUUGCCAGAACGCGCUCGACGGUGAGGGAUGAAAGCUGGGGGAGCAAACCGGAUUAGAUACCCGGGUAGUCCCAGCUGUAAACGAUGCAGACUCGGUGAUGAGUUGGCUUAUUGCUAACUCAGUGCCGCAGGGAAGCCGUUAAGUUUGCCGCCUGGGGAGUACGGUCGCAAGACUGAAACUUAA
This 754-nucleotide ribosomal RNA is filed under the name uncultured archaeon. RNAcentral describes it as "bacterial SSU rRNA". It matches the Rfam family "Archaeal small subunit ribosomal RNA", at positions 102 to 859 of the family's 1478-position model. The record is from RNAcentral.